This 353-nucleotide long non-coding RNA is filed under the name Danio rerio (zebrafish). Its description in RNAcentral is "lncRNA (ENSDARG00000117803.1)". Lineage: Eukaryota; Metazoa; Chordata; Actinopteri; Cypriniformes; Danionidae. The record is from RNAcentral.
UGCCAAUUUAUGGAUAUAUUGUAGUAUAAUAAGCAGUCAGACAACUGUAGCAGAGUAUAAACAGCAGACUGAAUGCCAAAAAGAGAGUGUUUGCAUGCUGUUAACGACUUACUGAAGGUGUUUGUCUGUGCUGUAGGCAUUCAGGUGUGUUUCUUCUGCCAUGAAAGCUCAGCGUGUGUCAGACGCUUUGCGCAGAUGCUGGAAAUCUGCUACCUGGAUCCUCACCUGCCUGCUGGUAUCAGUGUUCCUCAUCGCCAUCACCAAUAUUCUGCCAUCCGGAGAUCACAAGCUGAAACGAAGAUCAGUCCCCAGUAAGUAUCCUUAUAAAAUAAACCUUUUUUGCAUUUAAAAAU